AAUAGCCUAACGGCUGAACCAGCAACUUGGAGGAAUGUAUAGCAAUAGCUAAUUGCAUCAGUUAUCAACUGGUACAAUAUCGACUCUGUCGAAUAAAAUUCUAGGUAGAAUUAUGAUAAUGACAUUAUCUACCUAUAUGUCUUGACCAAAUUACGUGCCAGCAGUCGCGGUAAUACGUAGAAGACUAGUGUUAUUCAUCUUUAGUAGGUUUAAAGGGUACCUAGACGGUAAACCAAGCUUUAAUAGGGACUAGUUUGCUAGAGUUACUUAUGAGGGGGCAUAAAAGUACUAACGGUGUAGAGAUGAAAUUCUGUCAUACCUUUUUUCGAGGGAAUAGCAACGGCACUUAUAUAGGCGAAAGCAUCCCCUUAUGGGAUAACUGACGUUGAGGGACGAAGGCUUUGUGUAGCGAACAGGAUUAGAUACCCUGGUAGUCGAAGCAGAAAAUGAUGAGUGUCAUAGAUUAGGUAAUACUUUAUUCUAUAAAUGAAAGUGUAAGCACUCCACCUCAAGAGUAAUUUGGCAACAUUGGAACUGAAAUCAUUAGACCGUUUCUGAAACCAGUAGUGAAGUAUGUUGUUUAAUUUGAUAUCACGCAAAGAACCUUACCACAACUUGAAUGUUUAUAUUAAAUAUAGAUACAAGCGUUGCACGGCUGUCUUCAGUUAAUGUCGCGAGAUUAUGGUUAGCUCCAUUAAAUUAACGUAAACCCUUACUUUAUUUAUACAUAAAGUUGUUCUCCGCUAUAUUGGAUAAGAUAACAGGGACUAAGACAAGUCAUCAUGGCCUGAAUGUUGUGGGCUAUAGACGUGCCACGUGAGCUUUUACAAAAGGAUGUAAAAUUGAAAAAUUGAGCUAAUCCAAUAAAAUUGGCUAUACACUAACAAU
RNAcentral lists this ribosomal RNA (888 nucleotides) under Micarea nigella. RNAcentral's name for it is "SSU rRNA". It matches the Rfam family "Bacterial small subunit ribosomal RNA", at positions 370 to 1301 of the family's 1533-position model. The record is from RNAcentral. Lineage: Eukaryota; Fungi; Ascomycota; Lecanoromycetes; Lecanorales; Micareaceae.